RNAcentral lists this ribosomal RNA (497 nucleotides) under uncultured bacterium. Its description in RNAcentral is "partial 16S ribosomal RNA". It matches the Rfam family "Bacterial small subunit ribosomal RNA", at positions 28 to 507 of the family's 1533-position model. The record is from RNAcentral.
GAUGAACGCUGGCGGCGUGCCUAAUACAUGCAAGUCGAGCGAACAGACGGGGAGCUUGCUCCUUUGACGUUAGCGGCGGACGGGUGAGUAACACGUAGGUAACCUACCUAUAAGACUGGGAUAACUUCGGGAAACCGGAGCUAAUACCGGAUAAUAUUUCGAACCGCAUGGUUCGAUAGUGAAAGAUGGCUUUGCUAUCACUUAUAGAUGGACCUGCGCCGUAUUGGCUAGUAGGUAAGGUAACGGCUUACCAAGGCAACGAUACGUAGCCGACCUGAGAGGGUGAUCGGCCACACUGGAACUGAGACACGGUCCAGACUCCUACGGGAGGCAGCAGUAGGGAAUCUUCCGCAAUGGGCGAAAGCCUGACGGAGCAACGCCGCGUGAGUGAUGAAGGUCUUCGGAGCGUAAAACUCUGUUAUUAGGGAAGAACAAACGUGUAAGUAACUGUGCACGUCUUGACGGUACCUAAUCAGAAAGCCACGGCUAACUACGUG